This 165-nucleotide ribosomal RNA is filed under the name uncultured bacterium. RNAcentral's name for it is "partial 16S ribosomal RNA". It matches the Rfam family "Bacterial small subunit ribosomal RNA", at positions 355 to 511 of the family's 1533-position model. The record is from RNAcentral.
UGGGGAAUCUUCGGCAAUGGACGAAAGUCUGACCGAGCAACGCCGCGUGAGUGAAGAAGGUUUUCGGAUCGUAAAACUCUGUUGUUAGAGAAGAACGUUGGUGAGAGUGGAAAGCUCAUCAAGUGACGGUAACUACCCAGAAAGGGACGGCUAACUACGUGCCAG